This 301-nucleotide ribosomal RNA is filed under the name uncultured bacterium. RNAcentral describes it as "partial 16S ribosomal RNA". It matches the Rfam family "Bacterial small subunit ribosomal RNA", at positions 509 to 807 of the family's 1533-position model. The record is from RNAcentral.
CAGUCGCCACGGUAAUACGUAGGGCGCAAGCGUUGUCCGGAAUUAUUGGGCGUAAAGAGCUCGUAGGCGGUCUGUCGCGUCUGGUGUGAAAUCCCGAGGCUCAACCUCGGGCUUGCAUCGGGUACGGGCAGACUAGAGUGCGGUAGGGGAGACUGGAAUUUCUGGUGUAGCGGUGGAAUGCGCAGAUAUCAGGAGGAACACCGAUGGCGAAGGCAGGUCUCUGGGCCGCAACUGACGCUGAGGAGCGAAAGCAUGGGGAGCGAACAGGAUUAGAUACCCGUGUAGUCCCUGUCUCUUAUAC